This is a non-coding RNA of Trichomonas vaginalis G3, 282 nucleotides long. NCBI's taxonomy places the organism in Eukaryota, Parabasalia, Trichomonadida, Trichomonadidae. The record is from Rfam.
UACUUGGUUGAUCCUGCCAAGGAAGCACACUUAGGUCAUAGAUUAAGCCAUGCAAGUGUUAGUUCAGGUAACGAAACUGCGAAUAGCUCAUUAAUACGCUCAGAAUCUAUUUGGCGGCGACCAACAGGUCUUAAAUGGAUAGCAGCAGCAACUCUGGUGCUAAUACAUGCGAUUGUUUCUCCCAGAUGUGAAUUAUGGAGGAAAAGUUGACCUCAUCAGAGGCACGCCAUUCGACUGAGUGACCUAUCAGCUUGUACUUAGGGUCUUUACCUAGGUAGGCUA